This 436-nucleotide ribosomal RNA is filed under the name uncultured Oscillibacter sp. Its description in RNAcentral is "partial 16S ribosomal RNA". It matches the Rfam family "Bacterial small subunit ribosomal RNA", at positions 341 to 792 of the family's 1533-position model. The record is from RNAcentral. Lineage: Bacteria; Bacillati; Bacillota; Clostridia; Eubacteriales; Oscillospiraceae.
ACGGAAGGCAGCAGUGGGGAAUAUUGGGCAAUGGGCGCAAGCCUGACCUAGCAACGCCGCGUGAAGGAAGAAGGCUUUCGGGUUGUAAACUUCUUUUAAGGGGGAAGAGCAGAAGACGGUACCCCUAGAAUAAGCCACGGCUAACUACGUGCCAGCAGCCGCGGUAAUACGUAGGUGGCAAGCGUUGUCCGGAUUUACUGGGUGUAAAGGGCGUGUAGCCGGGAUGGCAAGUCAGAUGUGAAAUCUAUGGGCUCAACCCAUAAACUGCAUUUGAAACUGUCGUUCUUGAGUGUCGGAGGGGCAAUCGGAAUUCCUUGUGUAGCGGUGAAAUGCGUAGAUAUAAGGAGGAACACCAGUGGCGAAGGCGGAUUGCUGGACGAUAACUGACGGUGAGGCGCGAAAGUGUGGGGAGCAAACAGGAUUAGAUACCCUGGUA